Molecule: unclassified non-coding RNA, 222 nt
Filed under: Ascomycota sp.
Lineage: Eukaryota; Fungi; Ascomycota
Description: partial contains small subunit ribosomal RNA, internal transcribed spacer 1, and 5.8S ribosomal RNA
Rfam family: Eukaryotic small subunit ribosomal RNA (bases 1-47)
Source: RNAcentral
AAAGUCGUAACAAGGUCUCCGUUGGUGAACCAGCGGAGGGAUCAUUACCGAGUUCCAGACUCCAAAACCCCCUGUGAACACACGCGCGUUGCCUCGGCGUUCCGCCCCGGUGCCACCGAGCCCGGACCGUCCGCCGGAGACCCCAGACCCUCUGUCCAGCGAAUCUCGGCGUACAAGCAAGCAAAUGAAUCAAAACUUUCAACAACGGAUCUCUUGGUUCUG